GAUGAACGCUGGCGGCGUGCCUAAUACAUGCAAGUCGAGCGAACAGACGAGGAGCUUGCUCCUCUGACGUUAGCGGCGGACGGGUGAGUAACACGUGGAUAACCUACCUAUAAGACUGGGAUAACUUCGGGAAACCGGAGCUAAUACCGGAUAAUAUAUUGAACCGCAUGGUUCAAUAGUGAAAGACGGUUUUGCUGUCACUUAUAGAUGGAUCCGCGCCGCAUUAGCUAGUUGGUAAGGUAACGGCUUACCAAGGCAACGAUGCGUAGCCGACCUGAGAGGGUGAUCGGCCACACUGGAACUGAGACACGGUCCAGACUCCUACGGGAGGCAGCAGUAGGGAAUCUUCCGCAAUGGGCGAAAGCUUGACGGAGCAACGCCGCGUGAGUGAUGAAGGUCUUCGGAUCGUAAAACUCUGUUAUUAGGGAAGAACAAAUGUGUAAGUAACUAUGCAGGUCUUGACGGUACCUAAUCAGAAAGCCACGGCUAACUACGUG
RNAcentral lists this ribosomal RNA (497 nucleotides) under uncultured bacterium. Its description in RNAcentral is "partial 16S ribosomal RNA". It matches the Rfam family "Bacterial small subunit ribosomal RNA", at positions 28 to 507 of the family's 1533-position model. The record is from RNAcentral.